This 497-nucleotide ribosomal RNA is filed under the name uncultured bacterium. RNAcentral's name for it is "partial 16S ribosomal RNA". It matches the Rfam family "Bacterial small subunit ribosomal RNA", at positions 28 to 507 of the family's 1533-position model. The record is from RNAcentral.
GAUGAACGCUGGCGGCGUGCCUAAUACAUGCAAGUCGAGCGAACAGACGAGGAGCUUGCUCCUCUGACGUUAGCGGCGGACGGGUGAGUAACACGUGGAUAACCUACCUAUAAGACUGGGAUAACUUCGGGAAACCGGAGCUAAUACCGGAUAAUAUAUUGAACCGCAUGGUUCAAUAGUGAAAGACGGUUUUGCUGUCACUUAUAGACGGACCCGCGCCGCAUUAGCUAUUUGGUAAGGUAACGGCUUACCAAGGCAACGAUGCGUAGCCGACCUGAGAGGGUGAUCGGCCACACUGGAACUGAGACACGGUCCAGACUCCUACGGGAGGCAGCAGUAGGGAAUCUUCCGCAAUGGGCGAAAGCCUGACGAAGCAACGCCGCGUGAGUGAUGAAGGUCUUCGGUUCGUAAAACUCUGUUAUUAGGGAAGAACAAAUGUGUAAGUAACUAUGCACGUCUUGACGGUACCUAAUCAGAAAGCCACGGCUAACUACGUG